Sporormia fimetaria CBS 119925 is the source of this 96-nucleotide non-coding RNA. The record is from the annotation of a GenBank genome assembly. Lineage: Eukaryota; Fungi; Ascomycota; Dothideomycetes; Pleosporales; Sporormiaceae.
GGGCAUGUAGCGCAGUGGUAGCGCGUCCGCUUUGCAUAGGGGGUCGACCACUUGUAAAAAUGCGGAAGGUCUAGGGUUCGAUCCCCUACUUGUCCA